ACCAGUUCUCCCUCCGUUCCAGACAUGCUCCUUCCGUCAUCUUUCGAACCUUCCUCUGCCAUUCAUCCUUCGAACCGUUCUCCCUCCGCCUCCUCUCUUUGUUUUCCGUUACGUACUCCCUCUGUUUCCGCCCGUUCUCCCUCCGCUUCCCUCCGACCGGUCGUUCUCCCUCUGCUACCCGAAUUUUUCUUCAAUGCCAUCACUGGUUUGAAAAGUUCCGGAAAAUCCUUCUUCUUCAUCUCGCGAUAACAACAACAACAUUGCAAUUUUUCUUCUUCAUCUCCACGAACAGCUUCACCAAUCCCUCUGCGCAAACUUCGACACAUUUCGGACUUCAAUUCUGAACUCAUACACUCUUCUUUAUAUUUUACUCAAAUUCAACAAGGAUGCUUCUCAGUGCUAUAUAGAAGAUGAAGUGGAUAGAUAAUUAGAUUCCUUAAAGUUGUCUGAUUUUUUAUCCUGACUAAUUAGUGUUUUUGUUUAGCGGCUUCCCGAAUACUAAUAGCAUGAUAAAACCAUGAUUUAAUUUUUGUUUUUGCCACUUUUGAACAUAAUUGGAAUAUACCAUGAAUUUGAUCAUAAUUGAUUAUUGGUUUUGAUGUUGUGUUUUGAUGAUUGAGUUAUUUUGAAGGAGAUUUGGAUGGCAUUCUUGAACAAUUUGUUUUUUAAUGCGAAAGUUUAACUUAAUCAUGAUAUUUUAAACCAAUUAACUUGAGAUUUUUCAUUGAUACAAGUUUCUUGAUGUUUGAUGAGUAA
Molecule: long non-coding RNA, 756 nt
Organism: Vicia villosa (hairy vetch)
Lineage: Eukaryota; Viridiplantae; Streptophyta; Magnoliopsida; Fabales; Fabaceae
Exons: 3
Source: RefSeq, a predicted model, not a curated record